UUGGUCUAUGACCNUAUUAGUUAUUGGUGAGGUAAAGGCUCACCAAGACAAUGACGGGUACUGGUUUGAGAGGAUGACAGCACACCGGACUGAGACACGGUCCGGACUCCUACGGGAGGCAGCAGUAGGGAAUAUUGCACAAUGGGGGAAACCCUGAUGCAGCAACGCCGCGUGGAGGAUGAAGCAUUUCGGUGUGUAAACUCCUUUUAACAAGGAAGAAAUUGACGGUACUUGUUGAAUAAGCACCGGCUAACUCCGUGCCAGCAGCCGCGGUAAUACGGAGGGUGCAAGCGUUACUCGGAAUUACUGGGCGUAAAGGGUAUGUAGGCGGACUAAUAAGUCUGUUGUGAAAUGCUAAGGCUUAACCUUGGAAUUGCAAUGGAAACUGU
RNAcentral lists this ribosomal RNA (389 nucleotides) under uncultured bacterium. RNAcentral describes it as "bacterial SSU rRNA". It matches the Rfam family "Bacterial small subunit ribosomal RNA", at positions 225 to 636 of the family's 1533-position model. The record is from RNAcentral.